Molecule: ribosomal RNA, 439 nt
Filed under: uncultured bacterium
Lineage: Bacteria
Description: partial 16S ribosomal RNA
Rfam family: Bacterial small subunit ribosomal RNA
Source: RNAcentral
CCUACGGGUGGCAGCAGUGGGGAAUAUUGCACAAUGGGGGAAACCCUGAUGCAGCGACGCCGCGUGAAGGAAGAAGUAUUUCGGUAUGUAACCUUCUAUCAGCAGGGAAGAAAAUGACGGUACCUGACUAAGCAGCCCCGGCUAACUACGUGCCAGCAGCCGCGGUAAUACGUAGGGGGCAAGCGUUAUCCGGAUUUACUGGGUUUAAAGGGUGCGCAGGCGGGAGAUCAAGUCAGCGGUAAAAUGUCGGGGCUCAACCCCGGCCGGCCGUUGAAACUGGUUUUCUAGAGUUGGAGAGAAGUAUGCGGAAUUCGUGGUGUAGCGGUGAAAUGCAUAGAUAUCACGAAGAACUCCGAUUGCGAAGGCAGCAUACCGGAUCCAGACUGACGCUGAGGCACGAAAGCGUGGGGAUCGAACAGGAUUAGAUACCCUAGUAGUC